UACGAAGGGGGCUAGCGUUGCUCGGAAUGACUGGGCGUAAAGGGCGCGUAGGCGGCGCAGUUAGUCAGGCGUGAAAUUCCUGGGCUCAACCUGGGGACUGCGCUUGAUACGGCUGUGCUUGAGGAUGGAAGAGGCUCGCGGAAAUUCCCAGUGUAGAGGUGAAAUUCGUAGAUAUUGGGAAGAACACCGGUGGCGAAGGCGGCGAGCCGGUCCAUUACUGACGCUGAGGCGCGACAGCGUGGGGAGCAAACAGG
RNAcentral lists this ribosomal RNA (254 nucleotides) under uncultured bacterium. RNAcentral's name for it is "partial 16S ribosomal RNA". It matches the Rfam family "Bacterial small subunit ribosomal RNA", at positions 524 to 776 of the family's 1533-position model. The record is from RNAcentral.